GUUCUAACGAAUGAAAUUGACUAUGUUAUUUUAGUAGCUAAAAUACUUCUAUAAAAAGAAAAGAUCGAAAUGACAGAAAGGAGAAUCUUAUAUACCUAAUACAUACAUCUAGAUACUUAUAUAGCAAAUGAUUCAUUCCAUAGUUUGAUCUAUCUUUUGAAGAUGAAUCGGACGAGAAUAAAGAGAGAGUCCCAUUUUACAUGUCAAUACCGACAACAAUGAAAUUUAUAGUAAGAGGAAAAUCCGUCGAAUUUUAAAAUCGUGAGGGUUCAAGUCCCUCUAUCCCCAAGAAAAAGCCCAUUUUAUUUCCUCGCUCUUUAUCAUUAUUGUGAUAUUUACAAAGAAUUUGAAGAUCUCAGAAAUUCAGGGGACUAGGUCCAAUUUUUUUAUAUUUUCUUUUUUAGUUCUUUUUAUUGACAUAGAUACAAAUACUCUGCUAGGAUGAUGCACAGAAAAGA
This 458-nucleotide unclassified non-coding RNA is filed under the name Disperis fanniniae. RNAcentral describes it as "partial contains tRNA-Leu (trnL), trnL-trnF intergenic spacer, and tRNA-Phe (trnF)". The record is from RNAcentral. Lineage: Eukaryota; Viridiplantae; Streptophyta; Magnoliopsida; Asparagales; Orchidaceae.